RNAcentral lists this long non-coding RNA (876 nucleotides) under Homo sapiens (human). Its description in RNAcentral is "novel transcript". The record is from RNAcentral. Lineage: Eukaryota; Metazoa; Chordata; Mammalia; Primates; Hominidae.
CAGACAUAUAUUAAAACACAGUGUAUGAUUCCAUUCUGUAGGACAUUCUAGAACAGACAAAAUUAAUCUAUGAUGUGGUGGAAUAAAGAUGGCCCAUCUUUGUCACUCUCCCCACUGAAAAGUGGAAUUUAUUUUUCCAUCCCCUUGAAUUUCUUCUAGGCUCAUGCCUGCUUUGGUCAGUAGAAUACAGCUGAAGUGAUGUUGUACCAGUUUUGCGUCUGGUCUUUACAAGCACUGGUAGCUUCAACUUUCUCCUUCUUGGUACUCACCCACCAUGUUGUAAGGAAACCCAAACAGCCACGUGGAAGACAGUUCUAGUUGAGCUCCCAGCCCAGAGCCUAUCCCAACUCUCCAGCCAUACCCUGACUUCCUUCAGCAAAGAGACAGCUUCUGAUUCAUGUUCGUCUCACCAUAAUCCAUUUCCCUCUCUGCAGAUACUUCCAAAAGUUACACUAGAUGUUAACUGAGCACUAAGGACACUACGUGAAAGACUGGAGUACAAACAUCCAAAGGACUGAAGAAUUUGAAGAGCACUGAAUGUGGGAGAUAGGACAGAGGAAAGGAGUCAAAUGUCUCCAAGAAACGAAGCCUGUGUGCCCUGGAGAAUGAAGAAGCAUCAUCAAAUCGGGGAGACUGAAGGAGGAAUCGGUUUUCAGAGAAAAACAAUUUAUAUUGUCUUAGCUGUGUUAGGUGGCAUACUAUUACAUUCAAGUGAAGCUGUGUAAUAGACAGAGAUGACAAAUUUUAUUCAUUUAUGAAUGCCCCCCAAAAUAUAUAUAUAGUUUUUGCCCUCAUGUCUCUUAUUGGGAUGACAGACAUAAAUCAAAGAAUUCCAUAAAUAAAUAUUAAAAUACAAUUUGUGAUAAAUGCUACAAA